UCCUUUGUGGCUCAGGCAGUAGAGAAUCUGCUUGCAAUGCAGGUGACCCAGGUUCAAUCCCUGGGUUGGGAA
RNAcentral lists this transfer RNA (72 nucleotides) under Capra hircus (goat). It matches the Rfam family "tRNA". From Rfam's summary of the family: Transfer RNA (tRNA) molecules are approximately 80 nucleotides in length. RNAcentral also lists the same sequence under 1 other name. Lineage: Eukaryota; Metazoa; Chordata; Mammalia; Artiodactyla; Bovidae. The record is from Rfam by way of RNAcentral.